RNAcentral lists this ribosomal RNA (446 nucleotides) under uncultured bacterium. RNAcentral's name for it is "partial 16S ribosomal RNA". It matches the Rfam family "Bacterial small subunit ribosomal RNA", at positions 329 to 792 of the family's 1533-position model. The record is from RNAcentral.
CUCCAGACUCCUACGGGAGGCAGCAGUGGGGAAUAUUGGACAAUGGGGGGAACCCUGAUCCAGCGACGCCGCGUGAGUGAAGAAGUAUUUCGGUAUGUAAAGCUCUAUCAGCAGGAAAGAAAAUGACGGUACCUGACUAAGAAGCCCCGGCUAACUACGUGCCAGCAGCCGCGGUAAUACGUAGGGGGCAAGCGUUAUCCGGAUUUACUGGGUGUAAAGGGAGCGUAGACGGCAGUGCAAGUCCGGAGUGAAAGCCCGGGGCUCAACCCUGGGACUGCUCUGGAAACUGUAAAGCUGGAGUGCGGGAGGGGCAGGCGGAAUUCCUGGUGUAGCGGUGAAAUGCGUAGAUAUCAGGAGGAACACCGGCGGCGAAGGCGGCCUGCUGGACUGCGACUGACGUUGAGGCCCGAAAGCGUGGGGAGCAAACAGGAUUAGAUACCCUCGUA